GGGGCCGUAGUCUAGUGGUUAGGACUCGAGGUUUGGGGCCUCGUAACCCCGGUUCAAAUCCGGGCGGCCUCA
RNAcentral lists this transfer RNA (72 nucleotides) under archaeon. RNAcentral describes it as "tRNA-Pro". It matches the Rfam family "tRNA". Rfam says of the family: Transfer RNA (tRNA) molecules are approximately 80 nucleotides in length. Their secondary structure includes four short double-helical elements and three loops (D, anti-codon, and T loops). The record is from RNAcentral.